This 398-nucleotide long non-coding RNA is filed under the name Ananas comosus (pineapple). RNAcentral's name for it is "long non-coding RNA (ACOM_LNC007367)". The record is from RNAcentral. Lineage: Eukaryota; Viridiplantae; Streptophyta; Magnoliopsida; Poales; Bromeliaceae.
GCUAGUAAAUUUAAGUUAGAAACUAAAAUGAAGAAUUAUAGAGAGAGAAAAAAUUGUAGAGAAAUGUGUGGAUAUUACGUGUGAGAAAAAUUAACCGUGAGAAAAAAUAAGAAUAAUAAUAAAAAAAUUCUACAGGAAAAAUAAAAAAAUCAUAGAAGAAGGAAGAAGAAGAUAAAAUUGCACUAUUAAAAUAAAAUUAUACUAUUUUAAAAAAAAUUUGCACUGUUUUAGAUAAAUGUUACACUCUUUGAGACAAAAAUUACACUUUUUGGAAUGAGAUUUACACUCUUUAGACGAAAACUAUACUAUUUGAGUGAAAUCUACACUAUUUCAUAUUCUCUUCUUCUUCCUCCUCCUUCCCCUCCGUUUUCUCGCCCUCCUCCUCCACCUUCGCCACC